This is a non-coding RNA of Lactuca sativa (garden lettuce), 981 nucleotides long. NCBI's taxonomy places the organism in Eukaryota, Viridiplantae, Streptophyta, Magnoliopsida, Asterales, Asteraceae. The record is from RefSeq and is a predicted model, not a curated record.
UUUUUUCCUUUUCAUUAAUCUGAAUACAUGUUGGAUUCAUUGUUAUUUUUAUUUAUUCUUGAUGAUAUUUGAUUUAUAAUGCAGAGAUUUUGUUGACGAGGAAUUGAAGCCAUCAAUGAUGAUUAACGAAUAUCUACAUGUGAGGUGACAAGUUACAUAAUUGGUUUUGCUCUAUUUACAAGAUCAUAACUUUAUUUCAAUUCUAUUUGAUGUCAUAUCCUUCAAAUUAUUGAGCACUUGCAAUGUUCAUUAUGGUGUUCAUGAUCAUUUUCAUACAAUAUCUAAAUACAAAUCUUACUCUGUACAAUGCGGUACUGAAAGCUUAUCAAGAUUAGACACUAACAAGCAAUGAAGCUAAAAGAAUUGCACGUGAUCUUCACAUUGAUUUUGAAAAGAAAACGAAAGAUUGAGUGAGUCAACUCAAUAUUGAAAUCGCCAAAUGUUGUGCACACAAGGAUCCAGGCCAUGUGGAUAUAUAUCCAACAUCACAUAUACCAAAGAACUUACACCAUUUUGUUGAGCAUGCUAAUCGGUCAAAAAAUCAACAUUAUAGAAAAAGGGUUCCGAAUAGGAAAAGAUUUAAGCACCGAGUCAACUGUUUUGCAAUGGGUAUACGAUGAUGAGAGUCCUAUUGGCGGUGGCUGUUAUGGAGUUAUAUAAUAAGGAUGGAAUGUAAUCAUAAAUGGGUUGGAAUGCAAUCAGGACUGGCUAGAAUGGAAUGCAAUAUGGAAUGGCUCCAAUCUGGAAUGUUUGGAAAGGAAUGGGAAUGAGGAUAAUCAAGCACAAUUAUAUGAGGUGUAUUAGAUGGGUUGUAUGGUGUAUUAGAUGGUUGUUUGGAAGGUAUUGAUAGAAUCAUAUAGAGUACGGUUAAAUAGUUAUACUCUAUUAGGAAAUGAAAUCUAAUACAACACUCUAUUAAUACGAUUUGAUAUAUGUAUUAUAUAUACACUUUCAACUGUAUUAGAUUAGCCUUUUCUAGUA